UCGAUGAAAGACUAAACAAACGGUAAGCAUAAAAAAAAAACCACGCACCUGGGAUGCAAUGUCGUAAGAGAGAAAAAGAGAGGAGGAAGACGAUAAAGAUAUCAGAAACAACAAUAGAACGCCACAACAAAAAGAAGACGUGCCGAAAGGGAGAAAAAGAAGAGUGCCGCAAGAGAAAAAGGAGAAGAGGAAGAGGAAGAUAUCAGAAACUGAAUGCCGCGAAGAGUUUGCGGUCUAUUUAAAAUGAAACUGGCGUCGGUUUCUCCACAUAACCGACAUCUAUAUGACUAUAGACGUCAGUUCCGUUACUAAUUCGACGUCCAAGUUAACUUUUCAACUGACCUUUUGAAUCCCACUAGACGUUGGUAACAAUGGGAACCGACGGGAACCGACGUCUAGGAAGCUGAAACGAUUGACAUUUGAUUUCCUGUCAGGGAUGUUGACGACAGUUGUGAUGGGGCGCUGACGCCUAUAAUGAUGCACAUCAUUACUUACAGGCAAAUAGACGUCGGUGCCCCUUCUAGCCAACGUCUAUGGCCCUCGAAUUUGGUGAAUCUAAUUAAUUACAGGCACGUAGACG
Molecule: long non-coding RNA, 580 nt
Filed under: Vigna radiata
Lineage: Eukaryota; Viridiplantae; Streptophyta; Magnoliopsida; Fabales; Fabaceae
Description: long non-coding RNA (VRAD_LNC014678)
Source: RNAcentral